This 253-nucleotide ribosomal RNA is filed under the name uncultured Anaerolineaceae bacterium. RNAcentral describes it as "partial 16S ribosomal RNA". It matches the Rfam family "Bacterial small subunit ribosomal RNA", at positions 524 to 776 of the family's 1533-position model. Lineage: Bacteria; Bacillati; Chloroflexota; Anaerolineae; Anaerolineales; Anaerolineaceae. The record is from RNAcentral.
AACGUAGGAGGCGAGCGUUAUCCGGAUUUACUGGGCGUAAAGCGCGUGCAGGCGGCGCGGUAAGUUGGAUGUGAAAGCUCCUGGCUCAACUGGGAGAGGUCGUUCAAUACUGCCGUGCUAGAGGAUGGGAGAGGGAGGUGGAAUUCCGGGUGUAGUGGUGAAAUGCGUAGAUAUCCGGAGGAACACCAGUGGCGAAGGCGGCCUCCUGGCCCAUUUCUGACGCUCAGACGCGAAAGCUAGGGUAGCAAACGGG